This is a small nucleolar RNA of Nematolebias whitei (Rio pearlfish), 140 nucleotides long. RefSeq annotates it as small nucleolar RNA SNORA15. The transcript has a single exon. The record is from RefSeq and is a predicted model, not a curated record. Lineage: Eukaryota; Metazoa; Chordata; Actinopteri; Cyprinodontiformes; Rivulidae.
GCAUGGCUGAAUUCUGUGUUACUUUUUGACGUAGUAAAUACAGUCAGACACCAUGCUAAAUGAAUACAUUCACACACUGACUCAGUAAGAUCAGAGGGGUUUAAUUUGCGCCUCUCUGUUAGUUCAGUGUGAAUACAGUA